This 301-nucleotide ribosomal RNA is filed under the name uncultured bacterium. RNAcentral describes it as "bacterial SSU rRNA". It matches the Rfam family "Bacterial small subunit ribosomal RNA", at positions 214 to 507 of the family's 1533-position model. The record is from RNAcentral.
AUCGGGAAGGGAUCGGCCCGCGUUGGAUUAGGUAGUUGGUGGGGUAAUGGCCUACCAAGCCGACGAUCCAUAGCUGGUUUGAGAGGAUGAUCAGCCACACUGGGACUGAGACACGGCCCAGACUCCUACGGGAGGCAGCAGUGGGGAAUCUUAGACAAUGGGCGCAAGCCUGAUCUAGCCAUGCCGCGUGAGCGAUGAAGGCCUUCGGGUUGUAAAGCUCUUUCGGCUGGGAAGAAAUCGCACAGGCUAAUACUCUGUGUGGAUGACGGUACCAGCAUAAGAAGCACCGGCUAACUACGUG